UGGUCUCCCGAUCACAGAACCUGUUGUCUGUGGUAUUCAGCCACAGUGAGACAUGCCAACUAGAGAUCUAGGUGCAUAGCAGGUGGCGGGGUGCGGUUCUAAGGUCUCUGUCUGACCUAAACUGUUUGCUUGGAUCCUAGAUCUGGCCAGCCAGGAGAAGGAGCGGCUGGAGGAGAAGCAGAGAGAAGCGCGGAGGGAGCGGGCCAAGGAGGAGACGGAGUGGCAGACGAGGUGGUUCUACCCAGGCAAUAACCCCUACACUGGGACCCCCGACUGGUUGUACGCAGGGGAUUACUUUGAGCGGAAUUUCUCUGACUGCCCAGAUAUCUACUGAGGGCCUGGAGGGGCCUGGGGCCCGGGACCGGAGGCUGACGAGGCUGGACUUCCUCGAGUGGCCACUCUGAGCCUCGUCACAGCAGAAACCAACUUUUCUAACGACUGUGUUCGCGGAGAUAGCAUCAUCCCUGAUCAAGGAUGUAAUUCUAAUUAACUGUUGAUUGCCAAACAUUUCACUCUGCUGUGCCGUCUCUUCAUAAAGCUUCACUUGGGAUCAUCGUCUUC
This 561-nucleotide small RNA is filed under the name Pongo abelii (Sumatran orangutan). RNAcentral's name for it is "retained intron". Lineage: Eukaryota; Metazoa; Chordata; Mammalia; Primates; Hominidae. The record is from RNAcentral.